This 500-nucleotide ribosomal RNA is filed under the name uncultured bacterium. RNAcentral describes it as "partial 16S ribosomal RNA". It matches the Rfam family "Bacterial small subunit ribosomal RNA", at positions 30 to 523 of the family's 1533-position model. The record is from RNAcentral.
AUUGAACGCUGGCGGAAUGCUUUACACAUGCAAGUCGAACGGCAGCACGGACUUCGGUCUGGUGGCGAGUGGCGAACGGGUGAGUAAUGUAUCGGAACGUGCCCAGUCGUGGGGGAUAACGUAGUGAAAAUUACGCUAAUACCGCAUACGAUCUAUGGAUGAAAGCGGGGGAUCGCAAGACCUCGCGCGAUUGGAGCGGCCGAUAUCAGAUUAGGUAGUUGGUGGGGUAAAGGCCCACCAAGCCAACGAUCUGUAGCUGGUCUGAGAGGACGACCAGCCACACUGGAACUGAGACACGGUCCAGCCUCCGACGGGAGGCAGCAGUGGGGAAUUUCGGACAAUGGGCGAAAGCCUGAUCCAGCCAUUCCGCGUGCAGGAUGAAGGCCCUCGGGUUGUAAACUGCUUUUGUACAGAACGAAAAGGUUUCUACUAAUACUAGGAGCUCAUGACGGUACUGUAAGAAUAAGCACCGGCUAACUACGUGCCAGCCGCCGCCGUAA